CUUAACACAUGCAAGUCGAACGCAUCCUUCGGGAUGAGUGGCAGACGGGUGAGUAACACGUGGGAACGUGCCCUCCGGUCUGGGAUAACCCUGGGAAACUAGGGCUAAUACCGGAUACGCCCUUUUGGGGAAAGGUUUACUGCCGAAGGAUCGGCCCGCGUCUGAUUAGCUAGUUGGUGAGGUUACGGCUCACCAAGGCGACGAUCAGUAGCUGGUCUGAGAGGAUGAUCAGCCACACUGGGACUGAGACACGGCCCAGACUCCUACGGGAGGCAGCAGAAGGG
Molecule: ribosomal RNA, 284 nt
Filed under: uncultured Methylobacterium sp.
Lineage: Bacteria; Pseudomonadati; Pseudomonadota; Alphaproteobacteria; Hyphomicrobiales; Methylobacteriaceae
Description: partial 16S ribosomal RNA
Rfam family: Bacterial small subunit ribosomal RNA
Source: RNAcentral